RNAcentral lists this ribosomal RNA (606 nucleotides) under Fuligo intermedia. RNAcentral describes it as "bacterial SSU rRNA". It matches the Rfam family "Eukaryotic small subunit ribosomal RNA", at positions 1 to 557 of the family's 1831-position model. The record is from RNAcentral. Lineage: Eukaryota; Evosea; Eumycetozoa; Physariida; Physaraceae.
AACCUGGUUGAUCCUGCCAGUAGUGUAUGCUUCUCCUAAAGACUAAGCCAUGCAUGCCUCCGAAUAGAAGAGCAAAUCUCUCUGAAUCUGCGAACGGCUCCGCAAACCAGUUGUAAACCAUAGCAAGCAUGCCUUGGGACCGGCGCAAGCCGGACCCUUGGCUAUAGGGAUAACCCUGGUAAUUCUGAGGCUAAUACAUGAACGUAACCCCUGGCCGACGGGCAACCGGACGCUGGGGGCCGUGCGGGUUGACGCAUCGUCUUAUUGGGAAUAGUCGCACAGUAGGACCACCAUACCAAACAGUAUCCGCUUCGCCGCCUCACGGUGGCUGGUGGUGUCUGGGUGGCUCUUGCACGGUGCUUCUGACCUAUCAACUAGAUGGCAGCGUAAGGGACAUGCUAUGGUGACAACGGGUACAGAGGAUAAGGGUUCGAUCCUGGAGAGUGGGCCUGAGAGAUUGCUCACACUUCUAAGGAAGGCAGCAGGCGCGCAACGUUCCCCUUGGGCAAUGCUCGAGGGCGUUAGGGGACAUAUGAAUGCCUGCCUAUGGUGGGCAAUGAGAACGUAUUAGAGGNNNNNNNNNNNUCGAGUAACAAUUAGAGGACA